ACACCGAGAGAGAUAAUCUCAUUUUAGGGACACCAAGGGACAUAAGCUCAAUUUUGGGACAUCGAUGGACAUAACCUCAAUUUAGGGACUGCGAGGGUCAUAAGCUCAAUUUAGGGACACCGAGGGACAUAAGCUCAAUUUAGGGACACCGAGGGACAUAAGCUCAAUUUUGGGACACCGAGGAUCAUAAGCUCAAUUUAGGAACACCGAGGGACAAAAGCUCAAUUUAGGG
RNAcentral lists this long non-coding RNA (232 nucleotides) under Trifolium pratense (red clover). RNAcentral's name for it is "long non-coding RNA (TPRA_LNC004965)". Lineage: Eukaryota; Viridiplantae; Streptophyta; Magnoliopsida; Fabales; Fabaceae. The record is from RNAcentral.